Molecule: non-coding RNA, 114 nt
Organism: Caenorhabditis brenneri
Lineage: Eukaryota; Metazoa; Nematoda; Chromadorea; Rhabditida; Rhabditidae
Source: Rfam
GUGGGUUUUGGUGAUAUGGUGCCCAAGACCUAUCUGGGGAUGCUGGUCGGAUCCCUGUGUGCCUUGAUGGGUGUACUGACGAUUGCGCUGCCUGUCCCGGUUAUUGUGUCGAAU